Molecule: long non-coding RNA, 1609 nt
Organism: Felis catus (domestic cat)
Lineage: Eukaryota; Metazoa; Chordata; Mammalia; Carnivora; Felidae
Exons: 4
Source: RefSeq, a predicted model, not a curated record
CCGGGCCGCGGCGCAUAUAGGUGGACUGGGCGGCCCCCUCCCGUCGCGCACGCCCCCGCCCACUCCCCGGGUUCCCACUCCCCCGCCGCUCAUGUGACACCGGCUUAAGCCGAACGGGACCGAAGCCGGGGGACGCCUCCCCGAGCUGUGGGACCGAGCGGCAGCGCGCCCCGGAGCCCCAGUCGCCGCCUGGGACUGGACACGCUCCCCGCCCGCGGGAAGGCGGCGAACUCCGGCGCGCCGGCCUUACUGCUCCCCCGACGCGCUCCAAACCCCAGGCGGCCCGCGGCUGGAGAAGGGACGCGAGGAAACCCGGAAAGCGUUUCAUUUCUCCUUCCCUGGGUCCGGAGAGGAGAAACUUGAGGAAGGAUUCCGUUGAGAGGAAAGAACUGAAAAGGCGAGCAAGUGAAAGGGAAGAGGCCCCGCAGGAUGGACUGAAGGUAUGGAAUUGACCGGUCUUUCCAUCCAGGACUCACUGGUGGCCAUCACACUGUGAUACUAGUUCCAUAUAACGCCAUCUCCCACAGAGAAAACAGAAUUACUAAACAUGCUGAUUUUUUACAGAUACUAAGGUGCGAUGACAAAGGAACCGAGAUCGAGGGCAGAAUUCUUGCCAUUCUUGCCAUUCACUGCCAUGGCCAGUGGUCAUGAACUGAGGCUCAAGAAGUUUGCUCAAGUCAUGGCAGGGCAGACAACAUUGAUGUCCCUUCAGGCACCAGUCAGGCCUUUCCCUGGAUGGGAGAUCUCCUGACUCAGCAGCAACAGGCUCUGAGACUAGCCGAAUCCACCACCAGCACUGCAGACAACUGUUUCUGCCCCAAUCUAGUCAGUAAUGAGUCACCCAGAAAGCCAUAAGUGCUUUGCUAUUGAAAGAACCUAGGUCUGGAGUAGAUGACCCAAUUUCCUUGGAAAGAAGAAAUCAUGUCUACGAGUUCUGGGAGUACUUAUUAGGCACCUACUCUGUGCCAGGCAGAAUUCUAGGAGACCCACAGAAGAGCCCUAUUCCUCCCAAACCUUCUGGACUAGCUGUGGCCAAACAAUGGGCUUCCGCCUCUAGAAUUCAUCAUCCAAGAAUCCAUCAGAUACUUACUGACAGGCUGAGAGAAUAGAAACGAAUUGGACUGCCACGUGAGGUGACAUAAACAAUGUAGAGUACCAGCCCAGUGCCUGACAUGCACCAGGCCACCUAGAUGCUCAGCAGUUUCUUUUUCCUACCCUACUAUGUGUCAUUCAUUGGCCGUGCAAGUCUCCAUGAGGAAACACAAAAAAUCUGCAAGAUUCUGGAAAGUAAAAGCUCUGUGGACCUCCCAGCCCAGAGUUCUGGGGAUUUCCUUCAGCGUGUCCCAAAUCUCUAACCUUACACCCUAAUGGUCACGGGUUCCUUAUUGGCUCUUCCUAAGAGAACUAAGGACAGUAGUAUUUGCAGAAGGCUAAAAGGAGGGAGGGAACUCACCAUGGUUUCUUGGGUUCCUGGCUCCAUAGGUCAGAGAUCUCAGUUGCAUUGCCGGUCCCAACAGCAGGCUAAUUUAUGCACACCUUUGUCACUGAAUUCCCAUAGACACCAUUUAUGGUUGUCUCUCUAAUAUAUAUCAUAUAUUAUAGCGUUCUC